Long non-coding RNA from Wyeomyia smithii (pitcher-plant mosquito), 4019 nucleotides. RefSeq lists it as uncharacterized. The transcript has 2 exons. The record is from RefSeq and is a predicted model, not a curated record. NCBI's taxonomy places the organism in Eukaryota, Metazoa, Arthropoda, Insecta, Diptera, Culicidae.
UGCAUAGCAAAAGACACAAUCAUGGGUCACUUUUGGCCUUUAAGAUCAUUUUGUUUAUAAAACCAUCAAAAUCCAUCACAAAAGAUAUUUUAUUGUUGUAAAAGCUUGAUAAUAAGUUAUUUUAUUGGGUCGUGAUCCAUUUUCAUGCAAAAGUAAUAAAAAUAGCCAAAAUAUGGACUGACCCACCAUUGUGCACCGCAAAACGUAACAUCACUACAAUUAUGGGUUACUUCACUUAUUGCACCGAGCAGAAUAAAUGUUUUUAGUAACAUUUUCAACAUUAAAUCAUUUCAAUCGUAUGAAAAGGGUUACAAUUGAGUUAUAAAAAACACCACUGCCAAUAAAAAUUGCUCAGUUUCGUGAUCGUAGUGUCGUCUUCGGCAAAGUUGUAGAUAAUAUUUUUUUUCCGAAGAAAAUACCCUGGAAAAAAAAUUUUUCUUUCAAAAAAUAGUUAGCAGAAAAACAGAAACUAAUUAGACUGCUCUAUUGGUGAUUCGAACAAUUUUUAAAGCUAAAACGUUGUCUUUGAUUGGCAUAGUGUCUUCUGCACAGUUGCAGAUAACAAUUUGGUCCUUCCAAAUAUAAUAAUUAAAAAAAAUCCAAAACAUUUUAAUUUGUUUUUUAUUUCUCCACGAUUGAACCAAUUUCAGAGUUUAGGUAUUUAAUUGUAUUUUUAUAAAAAAAAUCGGUAUUAAAAAAAUGAGUUUUUUAAAUAUUUUUUUUUUGUUUUUCUCUUCCUUUUUUUCAAACAAAAAAUAUUAUAGUUAUAUUUUCGGAAAGACAAUAUUUGCCAAAGACAUCAUACCUAUCAAAAAACCUUUUAAGCGGCUCUAAAAAUAUUUGUAAUUACCAAUACCUUUCCAAAAUAGCAUUUUUAAAUAGCUCCCCUAAAAUGAGACGUGCUUCAGGAAGUUAAACCAAUAGCACAAAAUUACAUCUUUUGCCCAUAGAAACAACUAUGCAAAUUUUCAGCCAAAUUAAAAAGGGUCGAAUCAAUUGGGGACCCGUUCUUGUGGAAUUGCUCUUUACAAAAAAAUACAGUCACCUAUCAGGGAAAGUUAAGUAGGCGUUCAUCAUUUUUACAAUAAUAAAUUAAUCUAUACUAAAAGGGGUUACUCUCAUGUUAAGGAGAAAAAAUCGAAAUAUAUUUUUUAUUUCUCUUUUUUAAAAGGAUACGGAAUUUCAAAAAAUUGCAAUUAAAAAUAUUUGAUGUUUUAGACUAGAUUAUUUUUCCUUUAAACAUCAGAAUGGUCUGAGCAGUAAAAAAAGCAAAGCCUUGGUGCUACAUUCCGAUUCGGAACUCGACCUUCUGUUUAUUAUACACAGACUUCGCAGCCAACUGUUUCGUGUACGGGAUAAUUGCGGGGCUAGCGUUACGAUCCUACUGACACUAACAGUCUCACCCGAGUCGAGACUCGAACCUACGACGACUGGUUGUUAGGCCAGCAUCGUACCUCGAGACCAUCUGGGAGGUGUCUGGAGCAGUAGAACCGAUUUAAUGUUAAUGAUGCAAAAUCCUUCGUUCAGGUAUAGCGUACAGGAUUUUUCGUGUUUCUGACAAGUAGUUCUUUCUGUAUCAUGCUCAUUGCGAGGAAUGUCGAAAAAAUUAUAUUUUGGUACAUGAACUCCAGUGAGUCCAGUUAUUAAUAUUUUCUUUUGAAAAAGAAAGGUAAGAUCUCAUUAUUUAAAAGAACUCAUUAACUUUUCAACUCUAAAGAAAGAAAAAAUACUUUUGAUCGCGAGCACACAAGUAUAUAUAAACUCUUAAGAACUUUAAAUUCAAAUCCUUGUUUAGGCGUUUCUAUUGAAAACAACAAAAAGUGCAUCAGUUCUAGAACAUAGCCGAGGCGCAAAGCAGAUGAAUAAAUGCAGGGUUUUUAAACCUGAUUCGAACCAGUUUCAGUUUUUUUCAUGAUACACUUUGAUUGAUCUCAGUGUUUCUAGAUUUCAAUGGAUUUACUUCUGAUGACAGAGAAAGAAUGAUCCUGGUUCGAAUCACGCUGAAGUUGGUUCACUGAUCAAAUCGAGCAAACAAUUUUUUACUCUUGUAAAAAUGCAAUAUUCUAUCAAUGACUCAACAAAAUACUGCAUAGCAUACUAAUUGAAUAAUAAGUUUAAUAAAAAUAAAUUCUUUAUCGAAAAUAUUUAGGCUAUUUGACUGAAAUAUAAAAAAUGCGUACCACGAGCAUCGGUAGUUCGAAGUGGGAAGCUGCAUAGCCGCAAGGCUACAAAGUCCGCUUUGUUAAGCGGAUGCUUUAUAUUAAUUACGAGCAGGAUCUGUAUGUGGCCGCAGCCAACAGGAAGCUGAGACCUAUAUCUGGUGUGCUUCAAGCUUCCCAAUGCCGAUCUUAAGUGAAACGAACCAGCACAAGGGCACCCGACAAAAAAAAUAACAUAAAAAAACUUAAAAGUUUAUAAUUGUACAUAGUUUAUGUUUUUCAUUGUGAAUACAUCAAUUUUACUUUAAAUAUCAUUGUUCAGAACAAUAAAAACACUGUGUUUGUCAUUUUCAUUCAUUGUUAUGCAUCUUAACAGCAAUUUUUUAGGCAUUUUUCAUAAAUUUAGAAGUCACUGACAAUGUCUUCCAUAGUAAAAUCAGCGUUGUUAAACUCGCUCGCAAAAAGCAUGCGAUACUCCAAGUGGCGUUCUCGCCGCUACCGAAAUCUCACACUAGAGAUACUCCUGUCGUACUGUUUCUCAUUCUCUUUUCCUUUUUUCAUUUCACACUACCGAGCGUUGAUGCUUGCGAGUUUUCUCAUAGGCCGACACGCACUCUCGCUCGCGUACUUUCCCACUCGCGUGUACCUCCCUUUCUCGCGAGCACAACCGUCAAGACGCAUUAUGACGAUACGGAGUGACAAGGUACGACAAAGCGGAGUGGCGAUUACAGAUUACGGAGAUUACAGAUUUUCUGGAAAUAGUACAGAACUAUACAGAUUUUUUUUUUGAUUUUCGUGGAUCGCGAAACAAACUUUUCGAUAUAGUUGAAAAUCGAAAAAGAACUCAAAUGCUAUUGAGCGUAUUGGAGGUUUCAUUAUAUUUAUAUGUUACGCAUAAACGUGUGCAUAAUUGUGUUUUUUAUUUUAAGGGAUAUGUCCAGUACAUAUGCAGAUAUUUAUACAGAUUGAAAUACCACCAAGGUGAUUUUCUGAGAUUCGAAAUACAGUUGAAAUUGUGGCAUCACUGCGAGUAGGUGGUCGAAUAUCAUACACGUUCAAGCAUGCGAUUCUAUAUAGAUUUAUCACCCCACUUUCGCUCGUCGGUGCACGAUGCAAAACUGCUUGGCAUCAGUUUAGCGAUGGACAAGCCGCAUGCGUGAGUCGGUGAACGAAGCAUUUUCGUUUUCGGGCACAUUUUUUCAAGCACUCCAAGUCAAGUACUCUUAUUCGAGUACUCGCGUAUUUGGCGUGAGUAAAAAAGCAAAAGAGAAUUCGCGAGCGGCUGUAUGCUGGCUGCUGCUCUGGCAAAUGCAUGGAUAAUAAAGAGUUUCUCGAAAGUGUGUGUGCGAACGACUGGAGAAGCGUAGCACACAUCUCAGUCUCGAGCAGAAAGGAGUGGAUAUGUUUUGCUUCUCGCUCGUUUAGCAACGCUGAGUAAAAUUAUUGUCGAUGGUAGACAAAAGACGUUGAGACUACUGCAGCUGCUGGGACUAUUGCGACUGUUGCUGGAACUGGUACCGACGAUGAAUUGUUGCCUCUAAGCAGCUCCGUGGAAACUCUUGGAACAACAUUACAGCAUGGUUCAACAAUCAACUGGAAAGUUCAGAAAGCUCCAAAGGGAUUGGUAGAUUUGCCGCUGCGGGAAUGCCAAGAUACGAACGAUUCAGCGAUUGCGACAUCGAUCGGGCAAACAAGCCAACACAAUUGAAAAGCUGCGUACAUACACAUGUCUUGUGGUUAACAGGAAAUGAUUCCAAUAAAUAAACAAAAAGAAUAAAUCUUAAUUUAAUUCAAUUUAAUCUGUUUACGGUAUUUUAGAUGUGAAAAUGAUCAAAAUAAACAAAAAGAGUAAAAACUCAA